This is a long non-coding RNA of Chiroxiphia lanceolata (lance-tailed manakin), 264 nucleotides long. RefSeq lists it as uncharacterized. The record is from RefSeq and is a predicted model, not a curated record. The transcript is spliced from 2 exons. NCBI's taxonomy places the organism in Eukaryota, Metazoa, Chordata, Aves, Passeriformes, Pipridae.
ACAGGACUCAAAAAGUUUCUGGGAUGAUGUACUUCAUUAAGGUCCAAGUUAGUGGUACUGACUAUGUCCACUUAAAGGUGCUUGUGGGCCCUCGUCCAGAGGAUGUAUAUCCUGCCCUUGUCAGUUUUCAGACUGGCAAGACCAAAGAUGAUCCUCUGGACUAUUUCUGAGACACAAUGAGGGCAGUGCCUCACUUCUACAAGUCAUGUGGGGGUUCUGACCAUGACAGUAAAUGCAUGAAAAUAAAAUAAGGCUUGAAAGCUA